RNAcentral lists this ribosomal RNA (480 nucleotides) under uncultured bacterium. RNAcentral's name for it is "bacterial SSU rRNA". It matches the Rfam family "Bacterial small subunit ribosomal RNA", at positions 28 to 527 of the family's 1533-position model. The record is from RNAcentral.
GAUGAACGCUGGCGGCAUGCCUUACACAUGCAAGUCGAACGGUAACGGGCCUUCGGGUGCCGACGAGUGGCGAACGGGUGAGUAAUGUAUCGGAACGUACCUUUCAGUGGGGGAUAACGUAGCGAAAGUUACGCUAAUACCGCAUAUUCUGUGAGCAGGAAAGCAGGGGAUCGCAAGACCUUGCGCUGAUUGAGCGGCCGAUAUCAGAUUAGCUAGUUGGUGAGGUAAAGGCUCACCAAGGCGACGAUCUGUAGCGGGUCUGAGAGGAUGAUCCGCCACACUGGAACUGAGACACGGUCCAGACUCCUACGGGAGGCAGCAGUGGGGAAUCUUGGACAAUGGGCGCAAGCCUGAUCCAGCCAUGCCGCGUGAGUGAAGAGGGUCUUCGGAUUGUAAAGCUCUUUUACCAGGGACGAUAAUGACGGUACCUGGAGAAUAAGCCCGGCAAACUUCGUGCCAGCAGCCGCGGUAAAGUACUCU